UAAGGUGUACUGUUUUUAAAGUUAUAGGGAUAAUUUACCCCAAAAUCAGAUUUUUUUCCGAUUUUACAAGACAUAUCCUGUUUAAGAUUCGUCUCAUUUGCCCCUUCUUUUAUUCUUUCUUUCUUUUAUGAUCCCUCAGUGAAACAAGCUUACAAAAAAUUUUACUUUUAGUGAACAACCUGAUCAAACUACGUGCUCAAUAUUUGGCCAUCAUAAUCCACCUUCCUCGUGUCGGCUUCUGCUUUUCUGUUGAAGGAAUUCGUUCGCUGAUGUUGCCCAUCGAUGGAGCAAGUCAAGGCAGCUGGGGUCAUGUAUCUACACACCACCACCAGUAUGUAAUCUGUCACAAUAUCACACUGAUCAUCACAGGAAGGCACAGAUUUACACCGCUGAAAUAACAGGAUGGAUCCUGGAGAAUCGGAGUAAAUUAUGAGACAUUAAGGAAAUUGUUGAGAUCAUUUGCAAAUUUUAGAGGAGAGGAAAAAUCUGAAAAGCAGGUAGGUUUUUCCAAACUAGGGUCCACGAACCCCUGGUCGUUCAUGGAGGAAUUUGUGGUAUCGCUGCCCGCUUUGUAGGUGGCGCUAUUGAGAACUGAAGUGUUGGAGUGGGGGAGAGAUGAAGGACUGUUGUGUUGUU
Molecule: long non-coding RNA, 636 nt
Organism: Misgurnus anguillicaudatus (oriental weatherfish)
Lineage: Eukaryota; Metazoa; Chordata; Actinopteri; Cypriniformes; Cobitidae
Source: RefSeq, a predicted model, not a curated record